Molecule: unclassified non-coding RNA, 886 nt
Filed under: Hevea brasiliensis (rubber tree)
Lineage: Eukaryota; Viridiplantae; Streptophyta; Magnoliopsida; Malpighiales; Euphorbiaceae
Source: RNAcentral
GGUGUAUCGAAUUUCAAAACUUCCUUUCCAUUCACUUUAGCUGAAGCUUCUCCUCACUCUCUCUCUCUUUAUCUCCUUCCCCUUCUUAGCCUUGGUGCUGGUUCAUGGAUAUUGAACCCUUGUGGACUCUUGGGGGGUGGUUUCUUUUUUCUAUUUGCAUGGCAAAACCAAACUCAAAAUUGCCAAUCUCUGAAACCAACACCAAAUCGCACCAUUUCUUUCUCUUGUUUGCUCUUGUGAUCUUCAUUUUUCUUUUACUCAUUAGCCCUACCAAACCCACAAAACAAUCCACUAUGGGUUCCUCAAUUUCCUUCAAAAGGCUUCUCUUGGAAUCCUCAUCAGAAUCAACCUCAACUACCAUGACGAACUUGCACCCAAAACAAUCACAAAGCUCGCACGAUUCUUCUUCAACAAAAUCUAGGGGAUCAGUGUUUGGUGCUAAGGCUCAUGAAGUUCCUAGCGGACCAAACCCUAUAUCAAAUAGGUAAAUAAGUUUUAUGGAAGGGAUAAAUUUGCAGCUGCAUCAAGAGGCCUCCGGAUGAAGAUGCUAGAGUUGUAACGGUGAAUUUAUUACGAAUUUGUCUUCUUUAUGGUUAUAGUUUUAGUGCACCAAUUAAUACUUGUCCUCACUCGUCAGUGAGAAGUUUGUUAAGUUUGCUGUUAUGUCAUUAUCUUUAACCUUCUUUCUUUUUCUUUUUUUCCUUUUUUUGUCCCUUUUUGUAUUGGGGGGUAAUGAAGGAUGCAUUCCUCUUUAUCACUAGAAAUGUAUAGCAAGAGAAACACUCUCUAUUUUGAUAUUAAUAUAUUAUAUAUAGAGAUAAGAUGAUGAUGGUAUGGGUUCUUGUUGGUUUUUAAAGCAAUAAAAAUCUCAAAGACUAGUUGUGUU